GUAGGUGGCAAGCGUUGUCCGGAAUUAUUGGGCGUAAAGCGCGCGCAGGCGGUUCUUUAAGUCUGAUGUGAAAGCCCACGGCUCAACCGUGGAGGGUCAUCGGAAACUGGAGAACUUGAGUACAGAAGAGGAAAGCGGAAUUCCACGUGUAGCGGUGAAAUGCGUAGAGAUGUGGAGGAACACCAGUGGCGAAGGCGGCUUUCUGGUCUGUAACUGACGCUGAGGCGCGAAAGCGUGGGGGAGCAAACAGGAUUAGAUACCUGGUAGUCCACGCCGUAAACGAUGAGUGCUAAGUGUUAGGGGGUUUCCGCCCCUUAGUGCUGCAGCUAACGCAUUAAGCACUCCGCCCUGGGAGUACGGCCGCAAGGCUG
This 371-nucleotide ribosomal RNA is filed under the name uncultured organism. RNAcentral's name for it is "partial 16S ribosomal RNA". It matches the Rfam family "Bacterial small subunit ribosomal RNA", at positions 527 to 896 of the family's 1533-position model. The record is from RNAcentral.